Molecule: ribosomal RNA, 373 nt
Filed under: uncultured bacterium
Lineage: Bacteria
Description: bacterial SSU rRNA
Rfam family: Bacterial small subunit ribosomal RNA
Source: RNAcentral
GUAGGGUCCGAGCGUUGUCCGGAGUUACUGGGCGUAAAGGGCGCGCAGGCGGCGGUGUUGGCCCGGCGUGAAAGCCCCCGGCUCAACCGGGGAGGGUCGUCGGGGACCGCACCGCUUGAGGGCGGUAGGGGCUGGUGGAAUGCCUGGUGUAGUGGUGAAAUGCGUAGAGAUCAGGCGGAACACCCGUGGCGAAGGCGGCCAGCUGGGCCGUCCCUGACGCUGAGGCGCGAAGGCGUGGGGAGCGAACGGGAUUAGAUACCCCGGUAGUCCACGCAGUAAACGAUGCCGACUAGGCGUGGGGGGAGUUGACCCCCUCCGUGCCGGAGCCAACGCGGGAAGUCGGCCGCCUGGGGAGUACGGCCGCAAGGCUAAA